Spea bombifrons (plains spadefoot toad) is the source of this 825-nucleotide long non-coding RNA. RefSeq lists it as uncharacterized. The transcript is spliced from 2 exons. NCBI's taxonomy places the organism in Eukaryota, Metazoa, Chordata, Amphibia, Anura, Pelobatidae. The record is from RefSeq and is a predicted model, not a curated record.
UAUUUAAUGUUUUGUCUAUUUUUCUGCACAGAUUAAUUUCUUAUAUGUAUAAUUAAAAUAACAUUAUUUAGCAAUAUUGAUAAAAUGUGUUAAGGCAGCUGAUGUUUAUAUGUGUGUGUAUAUGUAUGUACAGUAUCUCACAAAAGUGAUAACACCCCUCACAUUUUUGUAAAUAUUUUAUUAUAUUUUUUUAGUAAAUGACACUCUGCUACAAUGUAAAGUAGUCAGUGUACAGCCUGUAUAACAGUGUAAAUUUGCUGUCCCCUCAAAAUAACUCAACACACAGCUAUUAAUGUCUAAACCUUGGCAACAAAAGUGAGUACACCCCUAAGUGGAAAUGUCCAAAUUAGGCCCAAUUAACCAUUUCCCCUCACUGGUGUCAUGUGACUCGUUAGUGUUACAAGGUCUCAGGUGUGAAUGUAAUAAUAUAUAUGCGUUUUUAAACGAACACGCAAGGCCUUUGAUGAAUCCUGAUUGGCAAGCCAAACACUGAAAUUAAUUCCUUCCGUUGGCGCGAGGUUUGUAAAUAUGAAAUUUAAAUGAACACCAUUUUAUAUUAAAUAUACAUGUUGUUGUAGACACUUUUUGCCAACGUAGACAAGUCUUGUCAAUGAUUUCUUUCUCAUCCUUAAGUUACGAGAUAACAUUUGUUUACCUGUCUGUAUACUAGGAACAUAUUUACUCUUGUGUAAAUAAGAACUUUUUAGCUUAGUCUGUGUUUGAUGUGGAUUAGUGGUACCAACUAUAUGCUGAGUGUUACAUUUUUCUUUGUGAAUGGUUUUGUAGCAGUCUCCCUGAAAUAGUAUUUAAACCCGCUCGCAACAA